GCUGGCGACCGGCGCACGGGUGAGUAACACGUAUCCAACCUACCCUUUACUCGGGGAUAGCCUUUCGAAAGAAAGAUUAAUACCCGAUAGCAUAAUGAUUCCGCAUGGUUUCAUUAUUAAAGGAUUCCGGUAAAGGAUGGGGAUGCGUUCCAUUAGGUUGUUGGUGAGGUAACGGCCCACUAAGCCUUCGAUGGAUAGGGGUUCUGAGAGGAAGGUCCCCCACAUUGGAACUGAGACACGGUCCAAACUCCUACGGGAGGCAGCAUG
RNAcentral lists this ribosomal RNA (267 nucleotides) under uncultured bacterium. Its description in RNAcentral is "partial 16S ribosomal RNA". It matches the Rfam family "Bacterial small subunit ribosomal RNA", at positions 87 to 353 of the family's 1533-position model. The record is from RNAcentral.